GUAAAACGUGUACGAAAGUGAAUAGUCAGUAUUACAAUUACAAUAAAAUAAACACGAAUCAAAACUUAAAUUGACACAGUGCGCAAACGUGUGUUCCACUGCAACGCUAAACAACGAGUGCAUCCGACAACGUUUAUCUCUCUUUAACACACUGCAAAUUACAUAAGUUGUCAUGUGCCUAACUUGAUUUUAAAAACCGUUAACUGUUAUAUUUUUAUAGGUUAGAUUAUUCACAUGCAAAAGCUGCCGAAAUGAUUUCGAGUUUUGUAGUGAAAACCUCUGCAAAUCAGCAAAACCCCGGCGGGAUGUGGUGCAAAUCGAUAUCACAAGGUGAUGAAUUUUCCAACACAAAAGAAAGAAUUCCACAUUAAUUUUUGUCGGCGUAGGUGUAUCAACGUUUUUUUCUUUCUUCACAAAAGACUUACAGUUCAUCAGGACAUCCGACUGGUUGUUGGAGGCGGUAGCCGUUGGCUAAGCAGGUUGCCAUUUCGAAGGGGUCUACUUCAUCAUAGGGUUGCUGGGCUAAAGUGGUUAAUUCCCAUAGGACCACACCAAAUG
Molecule: long non-coding RNA, 558 nt
Organism: Dalotia coriaria
Lineage: Eukaryota; Metazoa; Arthropoda; Insecta; Coleoptera; Staphylinidae
Exons: 4
Source: RefSeq, a predicted model, not a curated record